RNAcentral lists this ribosomal RNA (332 nucleotides) under uncultured bacterium. RNAcentral's name for it is "bacterial SSU rRNA". It matches the Rfam family "Bacterial small subunit ribosomal RNA", at positions 568 to 898 of the family's 1533-position model. The record is from RNAcentral.
CGUGUAGGCGGCCCGAUAAGUCGAAUGUGAAAGCCCGAGGCUCAACUUCGGAAGUGCAUUCGAAACUGUCGGACUUGAGUACGGGAGAGGGAAGUGGAAUUCCUGGUGUAGAGGUGAAAUUCGUAGAUAUCAGGAGGAACACCGGUGGCGAAGGCGGCUUCCUGGACCGAUACUGACGCUGAGACGCGAAAGCGUGGGGAGCAAACAGGGUUAGAUACCCUGGUAGUCCACGCCGUAAACGGUGAGCACUAGGUGUAGCGGGUAUUGACCCCUGCUGUGCCGACGUUAACACAUUAAGUGCUCCGCCUGGGGAGUACGGCCGCAAGGUUAAA